CCUGCCGGACAGCAUGGCCUUAUUUACGAGAUGUAGCUAUACUGCACGUAACAAAUGCGAUGCUUUGCACUGCAGCUAUAGGCAAAGCAUCUCGAUCGAAAUGAAUGUGCUUGCACCGAGCAGGUAGUAACGAGUUGAAGUGAAUUUUAUCGCAGAAACACACACAAUCAACUCAUCGUUUUGCACGUUGGCUCACAACCACACCCGAUGAAUAUGUCUACUUUUUGAGAGAGAACAUGAACAUAUACUUUUGCAAUCAUAUAUACCGGCCUAUGUAAAGCAGCCUGGGAAUAUUAAAGCAUGAGUUAGGAAACCUGCUGCACGAAUUCCUAUUCGUUAUAUCAGCUACUGCACAAGCACAAACAAAAAGUUUGCUACAUCAGUCAAUCUAGAUACUUUAUUCAAGCCCCAUUAAAUGAAAUACUGCCAAAAAUUACCACCAAGCUAAAGUUUUGACACAUUCAGUGAAAUCCAAACCGAAACCAAACGUGGAAUGGCCAAUGCAAUGUAUCGCUUGGCAACACUGGUAAGCUUGCUGCGCCGGCAGCACAUGGACGGCAGCUGUCAGAUACCGAGGCCUGUUUUCGUGUGUAAUUUUCGUUCGUGCAUCCGUGUUAACGCAAUGUUCUCCGCGGUUUGUGUGUUAUUCGUGAACGCAAUCGGAACGAGUCCUCAUCAACGCAGUUUAACGCGACUGUAAGUAAAGGGAAGCAGCGGGCGCCUUCACCGGCGCGGCCCUCGGCGAUCGCUUUGUUUGUAUGUGUCGCGCGCACGGUUCAACUUUUGAAUACCGUGGCUGCGCGUUGUCGCAGUGCAGUGAUGAUUAUAUGCCAGUGCUCAUCGUGAAACUGCACAAACCGCGUCACUGCUGAUGGAGCUGCCACGUACGUAGACGGCGGCGCCCGAGAAGACCUUUUCUGAAGAGAAUGCGUGCCUGGCGAUUGUCACUUGCAGUCGCAACUUUUACAAAGUGGCAGCUGGCCUCCAUGGGGCGGUGCAGACAGGGGACUGUCAUUGCUGGAGCACCUCCUGGCUAUCCACAGGAAAUGGAAAAAACAUGCUGUUUUCACAACGCGGACGACACCGUGUCAAAGGAAGUUAUGGAAAAGAGACUGAAAGCAGUGCACUGGUACCCCUUGCAGCAAUUGGAUGUUAUAAAUGUGAUUUCCACAUCACACACAUACCAUGACCUGAAGUUUUGGAUGGAAUGGUGAGCAUAUUUAUGCAGUGAGCCAUCUUAAGUGCCGACUGGCAUACUCUAGUGUUCAAAGGCACUGAAUAUAUUCUAAUUAA
Dermacentor silvarum is the source of this 1293-nucleotide long non-coding RNA. RefSeq lists it as uncharacterized. NCBI's taxonomy places the organism in Eukaryota, Metazoa, Arthropoda, Arachnida, Ixodida, Ixodidae. The record is from RefSeq and is a predicted model, not a curated record. The transcript is spliced from 4 exons.